UGGGGAAUAUUGCGCAAUGGGGGCAACCCUGACGCAGCCAUGCCGCGUGAAUGAAGAAGGCCUUCGGGUUGUAAAGUUCUUUCGGUAGCGAGGAAGGCACUUAGUUUAAUAGACUAGGUGAUUGACGUUAACUACAGAAGAAGCACCGGCUAACUCCGUGCCAGCAGCCGCGGUAAUACGGAGGGUGCGAGCGUUAAUCGGAAUAACUGGGCGUAAAGGGCACGCAGGCGGUGACUUAAGUGAGGUGUGAAAGCCCCGGGCUUAACCUGGGAAUUGCAUUUCAUACUGGGUCGCUAGAGUACUUUAGGGAGGGGUAGAAUUCCACGUGUAGCGGUGAAAUGCGUAGAGAUGUGGAGGAAUACCGAAGGCGAAGGCAGCCCCUUGGGAAUGUACUGACGCUCAUGUGCGAAAGCGUGGGGAGCAAACAGGAUUAGAUACCCUGGUAGUCCACGCUGUAAACGAUGUCGAUUUGGGGGUUGAACUUUAAGUUUGGCGCCCGUAGCUAACGUGAUAAAUCGACCGCCUGGGGAGUACGGCCGCAAGGUUA
This 547-nucleotide ribosomal RNA is filed under the name uncultured bacterium. RNAcentral's name for it is "bacterial SSU rRNA". It matches the Rfam family "Bacterial small subunit ribosomal RNA", at positions 355 to 896 of the family's 1533-position model. The record is from RNAcentral.